CUCACAGCAACACCAGAUCUUUAACCCACUGAGAAAGGCCAGGGAUCGAAACCACAACCUCAUUGUUCCUAGUUGGAUUUGUUUCUGCUGUGCCAUGAUGGGAACUCCUAACAUAGAAAUUUUGGGGGACACAACUCAGUCCAUAACAGAGGGUGUCUUUAUCUUUUUCUUGACUUUAAAGGGAAUACUUUUACCAUGGGAAAUUUUGUUUGCUCUUGGUCUUUAGUCUUUAGAUGUAUUUUAUCAAGGUAAGCAAGGUUCCUUUUAUUCCUAGUUUGGUAAGAGGGUUUUUGUUGUUGUUAAAUCAUGACUGCAUAUUGGAUUUUAUCAAAUGCUCUUUAUGCAUCUAUCGAAAUGAUUAUAUGUAUGGUUUUUCUCCUUUAAUCUAUUAACAUGAUAAAUACAUUUCAUAGAUUUUAUAGAGUUUAUCAUUGCACUUCUGGUAUUAACCCAACUUGGUCAAGAUGUACAAAUGACCCCCCCCCUUUUUUUUUGGCCAUACCUGUUGCAUAUGGAAGUUCCAGGCCAGGGAUUGAAUCCAGGCUGUACUGCAACCUAUGCCACAGCUACAACAAUGCCAAAUCCUAAACCCAGUGCUCUGGGCUGGGGAUGGAACCAGCAAGUCCACAGAGACAAGCUGUGCCACAACAGGAACUCCACAAUUGACCCUUGAACAACAUGGAUUUGAAUUGCACAGAUCCUCUUAUACACAGAUAUUUUUUCGAUAAAUGUGUACUACAGAACUACAUGAUCCAAGGUUGAUUGAAUACAUGGAUGUGUAAUGUAGAUACACAGUGCUGACCAUAAGGUUAUACACAGACUUUUAUUUCUUGACUGAGGAGUGAUGCCCCAACCCCCAAGUUGCCCAAAGAUCAACUAUAUUAUCGUUUCUAUGGGCUUGUUGUGUUAAACGAUUUGUGUAAGACUUUUGCAUUUAAGUCUGAAUGGCUUAUAAUAGCCUUUUCACAUGUUCUACUUGUCUGACUUGAUCGGGAGUUUAUAUUUCUUAGAAUGGAUUGGGGAAGUGUAUCCUCUUUUUCUAUUCUCUGGAAGAGGAAUCGUAGUAUAGUGGUAAAGGACAUGGAUUCCUAAGGUGUUGAACUGUGUGUUGGUGAGUCAUGUAGUUGUCAUUCCCAGGUACUGUGAGAAUAACUUGGUGAUGAGGCCAGUGGGCCUAUAAUACCCAAACUCAAGUUCCUUUUUAGAAAUACCUAAAUGAUAAGGUCUAUUAAGUUGAAAGCUAGAAAAAAUAAUAUGCUUAAGCCUUUAACAGGUGCUACUUACUGUUGAAUGAUAUUACUAGCUAUGACCCCAAAGUCCUAAAUUUUCUCAGUGUUUCCUCUUUAAUCAUAAAUUUAGGAGAUUAUACAUCUUAGGACUGUCAGUAUCAAACUGUAGACAUGAUUCAAUAUCUUUAUAAAAUAACUAUGGAAUGUUAAAAUACUUAUUGUAACAACUGGAUGCCCUCAGGAUACACUUUCUUCCCAGGGAGCCAGAUGGGAUGUAAAGAAGAAUUUCAGAGAUACAAAUAAAAGAAAAAGCCCCACAGAUAUGUAUAUGGAUUUCCUUUGUGUGUACUCCGUAUUUCUCCAGCUGUCUAAGAGAAACCAAAACUUUGUUGGCAAGACUUAAAGCUUCAGUACCAAAUAGAUAUUGGGGACAAUAUUGCAAGGUAAUUUACUAGUGUUCCAGUGCUUUAUUUUCACGAUGCCUCUGUUCCUCUGUUUUACCUCAGAAGGUGACAAAUGCAAUAGCAAGGGGAAACCCCACUUCUCUGCUGGCAGGAACAGAUGUUGCAGUGUUCAGAGCUGUAACUGGCUAUGUUUUUUUUUCCAGGUUCUUCCAUAAUUUUGAAUGAUGCUCAAAGGGAAGCUGCCCUAGAAAGAUGACAUUUUGAAACUCAAGGAUUCCAAAUGGAAAGGGGGAUGUUUGAGAAAGGACAAAGAAGGAACUGGGCAUCUAUGUUGAACUGACUUGGAGAAAGAAGUGUGAAGAAAUCUCUGAGAGGGACCAAGCAAGAAGGCAUUGGAGGGGAUUCCCAGGAAAGAACCCUGAAAUGCUCAGGGAUUUGUGCCUGAACCAGUGACAAAGUCAGCAGAGUGAACUGAGGGCAACACUUCACCUUGAAGAGGAGAUUAAAGAAAAGGACGCCGAAUUGGUCAUUGAAGGCAGAGAAGAGGAAGAACAGACCUGUCAGCUGCUGGGCAAAUUUGAUUUGAAUGGUUAUGUAGAUGCUAAAAACCAUUUGCUUGUUAUUAGAGGACUGUUUCCUGUUCACUCCAGGACCAUCCCAGCUAAUGAGUCUAUUUUGGAGCCAGUAUCAGCAAAAUGUGAAGGGUAAGCCAUUCUUUUUGUCUUCUUUUUACAUCACUUGUAAGAGAUAGGGGUGAAGGAGUGGUGGAUGUGGGAGUCAAAGUCUGGAAAUUUGAGCCAUGAUGCCAACCCUGACUCUGACACUAUUUAUUUGACUCAGGAUAGGUACUUCCUGUUCCUAUGCCUCCAUCUGUCCAGGGUAGACAUUCUAGGAUUGCUUAGAAACAAGAAAAAAACACAUGUUUUGUAUGGUACAGAACAUUGCUUCUCUGAAGGUGGUCUGUAGACCAGCAGCAUCAGCAUCACCUAAAACCUUGUUAUGCAUAAUCUCAGGCUGCAUCCUACAUCUGCUGAAUCAGAAUCUGCAUUUUGACAAGACCUCCUGAUGAUUAAUGAACACAUUAAGAUUUGAGAAGCACUGAUGCAGAAUGGUGCAGUGUUGCAGCUUUACCGUGAAUUGUUAUUAGACUAAAGGCUCCUCAGGUGAAAAUACACAGUGUCGGAAUGCUGAUUUAUUUAUGAGCUAGUGUUCAUAGCAGGAUUCUUCCUUUAGUUGGCAGGCUUCUGCCCUACUCCCCUCAUCUAAAAUUGUCAUGUCAAGAAAUGCGAUCCAUGAUUGAUAAUCUAAAUUUUCUAAGAAUUCAUUGUAAGAAAGGCAAGCAUGGGUUACAUUUCAGAGGGUGAAACACACUUUUGAUAUGAAAAGAAUGCCAGAAAUUAAGGGAAAAUAACCAUCCACAAUGUUCUUAUUACCAUAACAAAGCAGCUCUUUCCUUUUCAUUUCCCUGUAUUCUUUCUCAGCCUAUUAUAUAAAGGCAACCAUAAUUUUUGCAUGGCUGUGACCACAGUGUGGACACAGUUUUAUACUGGGCAUUUUACAUCAUAUCUUAAUCACUUCCAUGACGCUGCAUGAUAAUUAUAAUUAUAAAUGCAUCUUUACUGAUGACACUUCCUUUCCUUUGGUCACAUUUCAUGCUACACAAUUGAAAUAUCUCUAGAGGAAUAUAUAUACUGUAAUAUUGUUGGCAAAAGGAAAGGAUUGUAAUCAAUCCCUACUUAACUUUUUCCUGGAACUUCUAAUUCUUUUCCAUUCUUACAGUGAAAUAAAGGGAAGAGGGAAAGAUUCGCUUUUGUUCAUGGCUAUAUUAUUUAGAGUCAGUUCCUUAUUUAUCAAUGAUAUUUUCACUUAUUUAAUCUGACGAAAACCGGAAUUUGUCGUAAUAUUGUACACUUAUAUUUCAUCAGUGGUAUCACUUAAUUGAUUAUUCACCCUUCAUUGGAGCUUCUGAAGGUUAUCUUCCCAGCAAGGUAAAAUGGAAAAGCCAAUAUACAUAUUUUUAGUAAAAAUUCACCCCCUCAAUUAAAAAAUAGUUUGGCAUUUCCACUGUGAUUGACACAGUGGUAAGACAUAUGUCCCAUUUAAAAAUUCACUGUAUCAGGGAUAUUUCAAUUUCCCUCUCUAGUUCACCUGUUCUUAUUUAAUUUUCAGAGUGGUCUGAUAGUUGCUUUAUAUGUUCAGUCCAGGGAACUUGAGUGUAAUCAGUGGAAGAGAGAGGGUGGGGUAUGCUUACUGCAUCUGAACUUCAACCUGAAGUCUAAGGAUCCUUGACAGGAUUGUUUCAGCAUCUUUUGACUACCAGUGUUGCUACGGAGAAGUCUGAUGACAUUCUGAUUUUUCAUUUUUUGUGAAUCUUGUUUCAUGUAGUCCAGGGCAUCUAAAAAGCAAGUUCCUUGUCCUGAAUGUGAUCAGUAAUGUAAAGCAUCAUUGUGGGGAUUUUGCUUGUCUCCCAGCCUGUUGACUGGAACCCAAAUUUCUUUUCCUUUCGUCAUACAAGGCUAAAACUUUCACAGCACUUGAAUCCAUCCUAAACAUACCUAUAUGUUGGAUACUAAGAACAUUCCAUGAUUACAUUUUGGAUAUAUUUUCUUCAACAUUAAAACUAUAUAAUUCAUUUUCACCAAUAGCGAUCAGCAGUUUCAUUCUAUCUGUACCCAAUCCUGAUGUUCUCCAAACCUCUCUCUCUCUCUCUCUUUUUUUUUUU
Sus scrofa (pig) is the source of this 4355-nucleotide non-coding RNA. NCBI's taxonomy places the organism in Eukaryota, Metazoa, Chordata, Mammalia, Artiodactyla, Suidae. The record is from RefSeq and is a predicted model, not a curated record.